UACAGAGGUCUCAAGCGUUGUUCGGAUUCAUUGGGCGUAAAGGGUGCGUAGGUGGCGCCGUAAGUCGGGUGUGAAAUUUCGGAGCUUAACUCCGAAACUGCAUUCGAUACUGCGGUGCUUGAGGACUGGAGAGGGGACUGGAAUUCAUGGUGUAGCAGUGAAAUGCGUAGAGAUCAUGAGGAAGACCAGUGGCGAAGGCGGGUCUCUGGACAGUUCCUGACACUGAGGCACGAAGGCCAGGGGAGCAAACGGG
Molecule: ribosomal RNA, 253 nt
Filed under: uncultured bacterium
Lineage: Bacteria
Description: partial 16S ribosomal RNA
Rfam family: Bacterial small subunit ribosomal RNA
Source: RNAcentral